Vicia villosa (hairy vetch) is the source of this 1876-nucleotide long non-coding RNA. RefSeq lists it as uncharacterized. The transcript has 7 exons. NCBI's taxonomy places the organism in Eukaryota, Viridiplantae, Streptophyta, Magnoliopsida, Fabales, Fabaceae. The record is from RefSeq and is a predicted model, not a curated record.
AAAAUAAAUUACACUAACAAUUGGUCAUUUUCGUAAUUAACAAAAUAAACCCUUCUUUCUACUACUUUUCAUAACAAAUUCACCAAGUGUUGCAAUAUUAUUGGUCCGAUUUUAUUUUUCCCUCUUCCCCUCAUUUCAAAAUCAUACCCAUCUCUCUUCUUCCUCCUCAUUAAUUUCGUUCUCUCUCUCUUCUUCUCCACUCUCUUUUCUCUUUAAACCCUAAAACCGCCGCCGCCUCCGAGUCACCUCUCACCUCACCCCACGCAACGCUCACCACAGCAAUUGGUUUUGGAACAUGAAAAGCUUCUCCUGGUGUUGUUGUUGAUGUUGUUGUUUCUGUAGUCCAGGUAGUUUUGAUAACUCGGCUGCUAACUCUCUUGCUCGCCAUAAAUUUCAUGUUGAAUCUGAAGCUGCUAUCAACAAACAAAUCAUGGAAACCCAAAAUCCCCAUCCCAUGCUUGUAAUCGAUGGAAUGGUGUUGUUUGAUGCGCGGUUUUUCGGGGAGAUGAUGAGAAAUACAUUGGCUGUAACUCCUGCUGCCUGCUGCUGCUCCUGUUGUUUUGUUGUAAAUCGAUUUUGCAUUUGAUGAUGCUGAUGGUGUAGAAGAAUGAACAUUUGUUACUGUCAUUAAAAGAAGGAAACAACAAAGUGAGGAAUCCAUAAUACAUGAGAAGGUUAGUUUAAGCAACAAAAUAUGGAGUGAUCAUACUAGGUAAAGCUUUGUCGCCUCUCAUACUAGGUAAAGCUUUGUCGCCUCUGUUCACCUCUCGCUUCUCCGUUCAAACUCAGGUACGCAAUACAUCUUUUUAAACGAUGGCUUUCCAAUGUCUUCAAGUUCAGUUUUAAUUAAUAUAAGUAUUGUUUUGAAAAUAAAACACGCUCUUCUCUAUGUCGCUAAGAUUGCUAAUGACAGAAAUUCAUAUUAGAAACAACAAGCACAUGAAGAUCUUGCCGAGAUUGAUGAAGAUCUGCUUGUGAAUUCUGCCUCAAAUAAAUUGUAUUCAAGUGAAGAGUUUCACUCCAAGAAUCCAGUAUCAUCUUUGUAGAAUUUCACAAAUAACUGCAGCCCGAAAUUGAUGCUUGCUUCAGCUGAUAUAUGAUAUGAUAAUUCAGGAUCAUUUCCUCACUGACAUGCCCAUUGUUUAAAGUCUACCAGUGUCGAUGUUCACGUUCCAAUUUAACAAGCUCUGUGAAUUUUUUAGGUGUUAAAAUAGUAACAGUAUGACUAAUGUUAUGCUCUCCUGUUUGUUUUAACUAUUAUGAUUUUACAUAUGUUUGGUUUGUUUUAUUUGUACUGCAUUUCAUUUGAGAACACGGUGGUUCCUUGCAAAGUUAUGGGGGAAGUGUUUUAUGGAAUGGGAUAAGUAUCGCGACAAGACCAAAGAAUACAAGUUUAGAUUGGAGGUUAAAUCGAUGCAAGGUUUUCGAUGAAUUCAGUACCCUGCUAACCUUGACAGCUUUAGGGUCUCCACUAUCUGAAGAAGAUAAGAAGAUUCUUAUAGAAUAAAUUGAUCAACUACUUCCAGUGCAGAAGGAUACCUGGCAGAGGUUGCUCCUGCUGUUCUAGAGUAUGCCAUGCCUUUGGAUGAUGGUUUAUAUAUACUUUGCUAUAAAUAUUUAUUUGAAGACUUUUACGAACUAGCAUCUGGUUUUAUGAACUUCUUUUUGGGUGCACUGAAAAUUAUGGGAGGGUACUAUCCAGGAAGGUUAUGCAUAGCCUUUGUGAAGAUGCUAACUAUAAUUGGUUUUUAUAGAGGCGCUUCUGGUUAUGCUGUGUUUAUGUUUAAGACUAGGAGUGAUUUGGAUAAUAGGUUGUGGUUAGAGGAAAAAUUGGAAGUGAAAGAUAAAAAUAGAGAUGAGUUUUCAUUGUUGAUAU